AAGAUGAAUACUCAGAGCAGGUGGGU
RNAcentral lists this non-coding RNA (26 nucleotides) under Rattus norvegicus (Norway rat). The record is from RNAcentral. Lineage: Eukaryota; Metazoa; Chordata; Mammalia; Rodentia; Muridae.